This 521-nucleotide long non-coding RNA is filed under the name Portunus trituberculatus (swimming crab). RNAcentral describes it as "uncharacterized LOC123518118, transcript variant X2". The record is from RNAcentral. Lineage: Eukaryota; Metazoa; Arthropoda; Malacostraca; Decapoda; Portunidae.
CUCGAGUCUACGCAGCCCAGUGGCCGAGUUGACGAUCCAAAGGCCUGACUCCACAGCGGUAAUGAGCUUUGUGUACCUUGCACUGUCUUCACUGACAACGCCCACUACUAACCACUCUGCCUCCGCCACCGUUUCAAGAUCAGGGAAGGACUCUGCCUUGCAUCGCGCACUGUGAUGGUCGCCGCCGCCGCUGCUGCUGCUGCUGCUAAGGGAGAAUGGAGUUGGUGAUUCAAAGGACGUGACUGCAGCGAUCCCGUGUGUCCUGCACCAUCAAAGGAGGACUCCGGCUUCCCACGGCGCGUUCACUGACUCUCUCCCCGUCACCCUACCAACUCCGGCCACCCACCCACCGGCCAUCUGCUACACCACCACUAUCGCCGGCUCCGUCCAGUGAAAGAUUCAUCGCAGACCUCCUGCCAUUCAACGCCUGCCGCCGCCACCACCACCACCGCCACCACCUCCUUAUGGUGGUGUCACUGUACCUGGAGCUGUCAUGAUUGAAUAAUAAAUUGUGAAGAAAU